AGGGCCAUAGCUUAUUAGUCAUAGAACAUCUGCUUGGCACAUAAAAGGUCCCAGGUUCAAUCCCUGGUAGCUCUA
Molecule: non-coding RNA, 75 nt
Organism: Podarcis lilfordi (Lilford's wall lizard)
Lineage: Eukaryota; Metazoa; Chordata; Lepidosauria; Squamata; Lacertidae
Source: the annotation of a GenBank genome assembly